CUGAACCAUGAACAAUGUAGUCUUUGUAAGAAGGCACAGAAGUGUAGCCUAAAUUUUAAAAGCCUUUAGUGUUGCAAUGGAUAGAUGUUGGCACUUGAAGACAAGCUUUGCCUCUCUAGAAAAUUCAUCCAUGUGGAACCUCUCUUUGCCUGAAGAUGCUAGAGUGAAGCAUCUAACUUUAUGCUAUAAAAAUCUAAAUGACAACACGAGGCAGGAGGACAUGCACUGGAUUUAGUUUCAGGAAAUAUCUGGGUUUGAAGUUCAUCUCUAGAACUACAUUUGUAGCACAGAGGAUAAAGCAGGAGGCCUGGAGUCAGGAGGGAGGAUCUGGAUUCAAAUCUACCUGCAGUCACUUCCUAACUGUGUGAACCUGGGCAAGUCACUUAACCUCGAUUGCUGUUCUUCUAUCUUGGUAAGAAUUUUUUAAAAUGAGAGGAUAUGCUUUUUGAAGUCUAAAGUAUGUAGAGACAGGUAUGUGAAGGAAAGAACUUGUUCAUUUGGUAAAGGUUGUUACUGUAGUAUAAAGGAAUAAGUAUGUGUUGAGAUGGAGUGCUACCACUCAUUGAGCCUGGGAAAGCAAACUGGCUCAGGGACCAAGAGGGUCCAGGCUGUUCCCCAGGUUCCAAGUUCUGAAGCACUUAUUCCCUAUUUAUUUUCCUCUUGCUGCUGCUACUGCCAUAACUUCUUACUCUAGCUGGUGUCUGCUUCUUCAACACAACCCAAACUCUAUGGAAUUGAGUCAUGAGGGAAAAUGAGCAAACAGUAAGAGGUGAAAGCCUUGGGAAUAACUGUAAAAGUUCCCUGGAGUAGUUCCAAUUAGAGGAGCUGGAGCAAUGGCCCAUGGCCAGAUCCUUCACGGCACCCAAAAGGAGGCUUAUAUUCACAACUACAAAGUGCUUUGCUUAAGUCUAGUUAGGGGUAGAGCAGGACUUAAAGGCAAUUCUUCUGAUUGUUCAGUAUGCCAUCCCAAUACACGAGGCUGAUGUUCUCAGGCAUACCUGGGCACUCUGGGGACCUAGGGUCUAGUUUUGAGCUACCCCCAUUACUCACUGAGUAAACUUACAGAUAUCAGACUUGAAGAAUAUUAAGUCUUUGGGGCUUGAAGAGACCUAGAAGUCAUUUCAUUCAACCCUCUUCUGUUAGAGAUGGGAAAUAAUGUAGUGCAGAGGAAAGAGUGUGGAAUUUGGAAUCAGCAGACCUGGAUUUGAAUCCUAGUUUGUUUAUUUAGUAAUUGGGGAUCUAGACUGAGUCACUGAAUCUCUGGGCCUCAGUUUCUUCAUAUGUAAAAUGAAAUAUUUGGAAUUAGAGAACCUCAGUUCAAAUGUUGGUUCUGUCACUUAUUUAGCCAAGCUACUUAACCCAUUUUGA
RNAcentral lists this long non-coding RNA (1368 nucleotides) under Monodelphis domestica (gray short-tailed opossum). RNAcentral's name for it is "lncRNA (ENSMODG00000049732.1)". Lineage: Eukaryota; Metazoa; Chordata; Mammalia; Didelphimorphia; Didelphidae. The record is from RNAcentral.